RNAcentral lists this ribosomal RNA (1347 nucleotides) under uncultured bacterium. RNAcentral's name for it is "16S ribosomal RNA". It matches the Rfam family "Bacterial small subunit ribosomal RNA", at positions 1 to 1360 of the family's 1533-position model. The record is from RNAcentral.
UUCGCCCUUAGAGUUUGAUUCUGGCUCAGGACGAACGCUGGCGGCGUGCCUAACACAUGCAAGUCGAGCGAAUGAAGUUCCUUCGGGAACGGAUUUAGCGGCGGACGGGUGAGUAACACGUGGGCAACCUGCCUCAUAGAGGGGAAUAGCCUUCCGAAAGGGAGAUUAAUACCGCAUAAGAUUGUAGUACCGCAUGGUACAGCAAUUAAAGGAGCAAUCCGCUAUGAGAUGGGCCCGCGGCGCAUUAGCUAGUUGGUGAGGUAACGGCUCACCAAGGCGACGAUGCGUAGCCGACCUGAGAGGGUGAUCGGCCACAUUGGGACUGAGACACGGCCCAGACUCCUACGGGAGGCAGCAGUGGGGAAUAUUGCACAAUGGGGGAAACCCUGAUGCAGCAACGCCGCGUGAGUGAUGACGGCCUUCGGGUUGUAAAGCUCUGUCUUCAGGGACGAUAAUGACGGUACCUGAGGAGGAAGCCACGGCUAACUACGUGCCAGCAGCCGCGGUAAUACGUAGGUGGCGAGCGUUGUCCGGAUUUACUGGGCGUAAAGGGAGCGUAGGCGGAUUUUUAAGUGAGAUGUGAAAUACUCGGGCUUAACCUGAGUGCUGCAUUUCAAACUGGAAGUCUAGAGUGCAGGAGAGGAGAAGGGAAUUCCUAGUGUAGCGGUGAAAUGCGUAGAGAUUAGGAAGAACACCAGUGGCGAAGGCGCUUCUCUGGACUGUAACUGACGCUGAGGCUCGAAAGCGUGGGGAGCAAACAAAAUUAGAUACCCUGGUAGUCCACGCCGUAAACGAUGAAUACUAGGUGUAGGGGUUGUCAUGACCUCUGUGCCGCCGCUAACGCACUAAGUAUUCCGCCUGGGGAGUACGGUCGCAAGAUUAAAACUCAAAGGAAAAGACGGGGGCCCGCACAAGCAGCGGAGCAUGUGGUUUAAUUCGAAGCAACGCGAAGAACCUUACCAAGGCUUGACAUCCCCCUGACCAGUGCAGAGAGGUACUCUCUUUUUCUGAAGCAAGGGAGACAGGUGGUGCAUGGUUGUCGUCAGCUCGUGUCGUGAGAUGUUGGGUUAAGUCCCGCAACGAGCGCAACCCUUAUCCUUAGUUGCCAGCAUUAAAGGUGGGCACUCUAAGGAGACUGCCGGUGAUAAACCGGAGGAAGGUGGGGAGGACGUCAAAUCAUCAUGCCCCCCAUGUCUUGGGCUACACACGUGCUACAAUGGUCGGUACAGCGAGCAGCUACACAGCGAUGUCACGCGAAUCUCAAAAAGGCGAUCUCAGUUCGGAUUGUACUCUGCAACUCGAGUACAUGAAGUCGGAGUUGCUAGUAAUCGCAAAUCAGAAUGUUGC